UUUUUUUUUUUUUUUUUUUUUUUAAUGAUCCACAAAGUCAGUAACUGGCCAAGACCACACAGCUGGUAAGUGAUGGAUUCAAGCACAGUCUCUCCAAGGUCUAAGCCCUUUACUCACAGACUCUCUUGCCCGCCUGGCUAUACCCAGAAGGAAGAACUCAAACCCUAAAAAGCAUCUCUAUGAAAUCUACAGAGAGACAGGCUACUGGAUCAGAACCAUGACAACACCAGAUUCACAUGUGUACGCUACUUUCUUUCACCAGAGGGAAUGGGCUUUAUUGGUUUUUUUAUUUUGUUUUGUUUUUAACCUAAAAUGACUCCCAUUGUAAACUAGAAAAUUAAGAUCACCUAUAAUCACAGCACUUGGAGGUAAUCUGAUAAUCUCUCGUUAAAAAUCCUUCCAAAAAUUUUAAGUGUUCUCAUAUGCUUUUUUUUAACCUUUUAUUUUGGAAUAAUUUUAGAUAAACAGAAAAGUUGCAAAGGUCGUACAGAGUUCCUGUACAUCCUUCAGCCACGAAGGAUAAAACACAUGGACAUUUUCCAACAAAGCCAAGAAAGUAACAUGGGUACUUCCUAUGGAGUACCGAUUUUACUUGGAUCACCCCAGUUUUUCUACGCAUGUCUUUUUUCCUUUCCAGGAUCCAGUCUGGGGUACCCCAUAGCAGUGGCCUCGUACAGUUUUUAAACAGUUUUUGUUUGUUUGUUUUCAGGGCCACGCCUGCCGCAUCUGCAGUUCCCAGUCUAGGGGUCGAAUCAGAGCUGCAGCCACAGCCACAGCAACACUGGAUCCGAGCUGCAUCUGCGACCUAUAGCGCAGCUUGUGGCAACGCCAGGUCUUUAACCCACUGAGCAAGGCCAGGGAUAGAACCUGCAUCCUCCCGGAGACUCUGUCAAGUUCUUUACCCACCAAGCCACAAUAGGAACUCCCAAACAGACUACUUUUACUCAACAAUACAUCAUGAACGUAUUUCUAGUUCAACAUAGGGACACCUCCACCAUCAUUUUCAGCAGCGCCCUAGCAUUGCGUUUUAUGAAUGGGUGACACCCUCCUUCGGAAGGGCAUUUCCGUAACAGUAGGAUGAGCAAACCUCCAUGCUAUGCAGACGUGUCUGAGGUGCGCCAGGAUAAGCUCCCGAGAAGUGCAAGGAGAGUGUGUCAAGAGGAUGCCCUUCCAUGCUUUUCAUUCCACACGCUCCUGAAAUCCUGAACCCACGUGCCCCCGCAGAUCAAUAACUUUAACCUAGAUUCAUUUUGGACCAUAAACGACUUAUCAGACACACCAACUCCUCCAUACUCUAGAGAGACGGCUAUGGAAAGGGAGAGGGUUCAUGGGCUUCAAGACCAUCAUGCACUGCCCCCCAGCGCCCCCCCCAACCAGAACACAAUCCACUGUAAAGAGCCACCUGAAAUUACACCUUCAUUCUGAUUAGGAGUCUGAUUAAGGUCAAGCUGGUCCCACACUUUGGGCCUGACCGACAACGAGAUGUCCCUGUCUUUGGCAUUUCGAUGGUGGAAUUACCUCUGGGGUACAGGGCCACCCCCACUGCCCCACCCUGAGUUUAAUUUCCUUCCCAUCUCUCCGCAAUGUCUACCGAAACUCCCCGAAGGAAAAGCUCCGAGCAGGCUUGUGUGGUAAUGCGUGCAGCAGGAAUGACAAAAGCAUCUGAGAAUCAGCAAAGGUACAUGUCUUUUUUUUUUUUUCCUGGUGGUGAAAGGAAUAGAGGGAGGGGUAAUGAUUAGAAAACUGCUUGCCUAUCUAAAAACAGCUCAGAGCGAGCUGGAACCAGGACCUGCCCAGCAUGCUAGCUAUCGCCGUGGUCUCUCCUUCAAAAGAAGCCCAUGUUGCAGGUGGAGGCUCUAUUCUCCAACGCAAAAUACUGUGACCCCAUGCACGGGACUGCAAAAUACUAUAUAUUUGAUUUUUGACUUUUGAUUUUUUUUGGCCGCGCGCAUAUGGAAGAUCCCAGGCCAGGGACUGAAUCUGCGUCAUAGCAGAGACCAGAGCUGCUGUGGUGACCACACUGGAUCCUUAACUCGAUGCACCACCAGAGAACUCCUAUGCUAUAUAUUUGAGAUGAUUAAACGGGGACCGGCCGGGGGUGGGGAGGAGGGAAUUAAGCGGGGAAGGAGGCAGGGAAGGAUUAGAGACAUGGAGACCUACCCCAUGCUGGGGAAUUCUGAAGUGCCAUCCUGGCUUGCAAAAAAGAAAAGCAAAGCAAAAGAAAAAACAAGCUCCUGAUCAGAGGGAACGCUCUUCCAUGCCAAACUCAGCUGGAAUUAAUACACAAUACAACCUCUAAGAUGGGGAAACGCUGCUCAGAAAUAAGAGCCUCUUCUCUAAAGGCAACUGAUGAAAACCAACAGGAAGUCGAGAAUAUUCUGGGAAGAGAAAGGGCUGCCUUCAUCCCAAUGUUUGCAACCUUGUCACUCUGGUCAGGGCCACACUUUCAGGUCAGGAGGGCCCGAGUCUCCGAGGCUAAGGAUGCCAGGUCCAUUUUCCCCAGAAGAACAAUGCCCGUGACCUUGGGCCGAUGACCUCCCCGGGGCCUCUGUGGUCUGCUUGAGUGGUCGGGAGAACCCAUUUGACUUUUGAAUUCCACCCAGAAACCACAGGAGGUUCUGCCCAGGGAACAGAACAAUUGAAUUGAUUACAGGGAUGGAGGACCCCCCAAAGGACUUUCCUGUCCCCUCCUUCCCGGGUGGGCUCCGGACCACUAGGGAGGAGCCUUCAGCUGAGGGACAGCAGGGAGACUCUGCUUAGGAGGGAGGAAGAAAAAAACAGGCUUGAAAACAGAGGAGACACUUUCUCCUGUUAGCUGAGAAAGUACUGUCGUGACUCAAGAGGAAGGAGCUUCUGCAGAGAAACGGAACUUUAAAAGCAAGGCGCCCUGGUUCCAGCGCGCGUCUUCCUGGGUGAAGCAGCCCAUUUCUGCUAGUGGAGUCUUUCUUCUUAAAUUUUUUUAUUAUGGUUGAUUUAUAAUGUUCUGUCAAUUUCUGCUGUACAGCAAAGUGACCCAGUUAUAUAUACAUAUAUAUAUAUAUAUACAUUCUUUUUUUCAUAUUAUUCUCUAUCGCAUUCCAUCACAAGUGAUUAGAUAUAGUUUCCUGUGCUAUGUCUUGUUUGUUUGCCUCCUUUUUUUUUUUUUUCGAAUGGAGCAUUUUAGGCCAAACUGGGGAUCUCUUGACAUUUAGGUGAUUCAACCUGUCAAUCUCAAAUUCAGAUUCAAGCCACUACAAAAAUCAGACCUUCAGAUUCUAAUCACGGGACUGUAUCUGUGUGUGCUGGGUCAUGAAGCAGAAGUUGCAGGAGGUGACUCCACUUCCAUGAGGUUUUCCCAAAGUCCCCAGCUAUACGCACGACUCCCUUGGUUGUGCUUGUUUCCUCCGAAUUGUGAAGCUUACACGAGCUCUGGAAGCACAAACGCACCAGAGGGAGGAACCAGGGACAGACCUUUGGGCUGCAAAUACAACCUGCUGUUGCAAUCAAAUAAAACUCGCGGCAAAUUAAGCCUGACAUUUAGGAAUAACCACAUUGUUAUUGCCCUACACAGAACUCCAGCAGCAAAGACAGACCUCUCACAGAGGUGACUCAAACGGGGGCCCAAGGGAACUGGGGAAAGCAGAGACCUUCCUGCAAGUCCCUCUAGAGGCUGGGUUGCAGAGGCAGGCAUUAGCCGGGACACAAACUCAGGCAGCCUGGACCCAGAAUGCCAUCUUGGGGCCGUGACACAGGAUAAACAAAACCACGUGACUCCUCCUCGCAGGGGUUUUGAGUCCAGCCAAGGCAGGGUGGAUGCUGCAGACCUCAGCGUGGGCCUGGAAGCACCUGCUGAAAAGAAGCAGGCUGAGGACCUCGGAUGUCCCCUCCCCCCCAGUGUCACCAAGGUCAGAGAACCCAGGAGGUGUAAUUCAAGAACAGCUGAGCCCCUUCUGUAAAGACCCGCCAUUCCUUGCAGCCUUCAAGUAUCUGUAAUCCCUCCUAUUAUGUAUUUACUUGCAUGGAAAGCAAAUGUUAAAACUCUAAAGGUUUCUUGUCCCUUAGAACUUGGUUGGUGGUUUAUCCAGUGGACUUUCCUAGUUGGUCCCUACCCCCUCCAACCUCCCGUGAGAGGAGUGGGUUAACUCCUGGGUCCCUCCUUCUGGCUGUCCUCACUGUGCCUGCCUAGAGGUGGGCAGCAAGAAGGGGGGAAGAGAAACCAUGGCAUCUCUGGACCAGCCACCCAAGCCUUCAGGCUGCAGCAAACAGAUGGUGCGGGCUGGCCAGGAGCUGUACAGGGCACCACCGUGCUCUGUGCCAAUCUCUCGGGAGGCGGCUGAACUUGGCCACCCAUGUUCAGAGGGCCUUACUCCACAUCCACCCAACGGAGGCAGGAGGCUGGGGUCCACCAGAUGGCAGAAAGGUUGACUGCGGGAGCUGCAGGAUCAUCUGUUCAGUCGCACAUGAAAACAGUGAAAGACCUGCUCUGUGCCAGUUCUGGAGACACAGUGUGGAAGAAAACCAGCCAUCUCCCCACCCCAGUGGACGGGACUGAUGUUAGCAGACACAAACUGGGAAGAGCCCUGGCAGGGUUGAGGACCCAGGUGGAGCAGCCUAGCUGGCAAAUGAACUUGACCUACAAAGGUAAAGAGAGAACCUGAAGAAGAAGCUGUUGAUCUGCUCUUGACUUGGGGUGAGUUAAUCCUUCUAAGCCUCACUUUGCUCGUCUGUAAAAUGGGCCCAUCUCCGUGCAGCCACCGGGAGGCUGGAACGUGAAACUGCACUGAAGAAGGACUUGGCUGAAGGACAGGUCUCGAUAAAUGUUAACCUGCGGCAUCAGGAGACCCACUUCAGAUACAGGGCUCGGGCUUAAGCUCACAGAGACCCACACGCCUCUCCUCCCCAGCACACAGGCCUGGGCUUUUCUGCCCCUUUGCGCUCCCUGAUCUAGCCCGAUUCCCGGGGAAACCUCUAAGCCCUCUUUCAGUCCUGGGUCUCUUUAAGCAGUGGCUGCCAGCGCUGUAGGGGAUUCGUGGUGACUCAGCCCUGGCCCCAGAAAAGCUGGAGGCACAAUCGCUCAGCCAGGAUGUGGCUGUGAGCCCGCGAGCUGCUGGGAGGAGAGAAAGCUGUUCUCUCGGGCCUUCUCAAGCUCCCUCCCUCUGCUUGGCGUCCCAGCCACCAUCCUGGAGGAGGCCACUGCGAGGCUGGCUGCAUUCUCUCCAGGACCUGAAAGGCCUGCCUGGAUCCCAGGAGGGAAAUCAGGCAGCUGGCAGAGAAAGCAGAGAGGGUCCCUGUCUUCUCCCUCUCGCUUAAGGCGGCUAAAUCUGGCUGUAGAGGGUUCGGCUCUUUCCCUCCCCACUAAGAACGCAGGAGCAGAGGGGGCACCAGCAAAGCGAGGGCCAACCCGGUGGCCCCACAAAGUCUGGGAGCCCCACUUAGAUCCUAACUGGCCCACUUCCACCCGUCUCCAAGCAACGUGACACGAAAUCCACUGGAACGCCAUCUCCAAGCCAGGGAGCUGGAAGGCGCUGGGCCACUCUUGCUCACACCCCCGCACUUGUGGGGGUGGGAGCAGGAAUCGGGGGGUAGGAGAUACAGGCUCUGCCCAGAGCCCACAGCCCCGAGAAACUCCUUGCACAGCUGAAGAAGAAAAAGAGAUUCAGUCUCUUGCAGGUUAAAGACAAGGUCACCAGGAGAGGGGCUGAGGUGGGGCAGCUCGCUCAAGGGUGUCCCACGUGCUCCCUGCCCCCGUUCGUGGAUCCCGGGUGUACAUGGUUUAGGGUCUUCCAGGUACAUGCUCGUGGGCAGGGCCAGCCUCGGGGAGUUAGGACAGGCCUGUCUGAACCUUCCUGCUGACACACAAUCUACCUCCUCUAGCUCCAACCUCUGCUUCGUAUCUUCCUUAAGACAUUUGGGCAAAGACCUAGCAAUUGUUACUCAAUCCCCAUAAAAG
This 5929-nucleotide long non-coding RNA is filed under the name Sus scrofa (pig). Its description in RNAcentral is "lncRNA (ENSSSCG00000054863.1)". Lineage: Eukaryota; Metazoa; Chordata; Mammalia; Artiodactyla; Suidae. The record is from RNAcentral.